Molecule: ribosomal RNA, 478 nt
Filed under: uncultured bacterium
Lineage: Bacteria
Description: bacterial SSU rRNA
Rfam family: Bacterial small subunit ribosomal RNA
Source: RNAcentral
GACGAACGCUGGCGGCGUGCUUAAUACAUGCAAGUCAACUUGACUUUAGAUAGCAAUAUCGAAAAGUAGGGUGGCGCACGGGUGCGUAACGCGUAGGUAAUCUGCCCUGAGGUCUGACAUAACCCGUCGAAAGGCGGGCUAACAUCAGAUGAUAUAUAAUCACGACAUCGUGGAAAUAUCAAAUCUUCGGAGCCUUGGGAUGAGCCUGCGUCUGAUUAGGUAGUUGGCGGAGUAAUAGCCCACCAAGCCUACGAUCAGUAGCUGGUCUGAGAGGAUGAUCAGCCACACUGGAACUGAGACACGGUCCAGACUCCUACGGGAGGCAGCAGUAAGGAAUAUUGCUCAAUGGGGGAAACCCUGAAGCAGCAACGCCGCGUGAAGGAUGAAAUACUUUUGUAUGUAAACUUCUGUAAGAUGGGAAAAUAUUCUCCUCGGGAGAAUUGAUUGUACCAUCAGAGUAAGCCCCGGCUAACUACGU